This 516-nucleotide ribosomal RNA is filed under the name Salmonella enterica. RNAcentral describes it as "partial 23S ribosomal RNA". It matches the Rfam family "Bacterial large subunit ribosomal RNA", at positions 1 to 554 of the family's 2925-position model. Lineage: Bacteria; Pseudomonadati; Pseudomonadota; Gammaproteobacteria; Enterobacterales; Enterobacteriaceae. RNAcentral also lists the same sequence under 1 other name. The record is from RNAcentral.
GAGGUUAAGCGACUAAGCGUACACGGUGGAUGCCCUGGCAGUCAGAGGCGAUGAAGGACGUGCUAAUCUGCGAUAAGCGCCGGUAAGGUGAUAUGAACCGUUAUAACCGGCGAUUUCCGAAUGGGGAAACCCAGUGUGACUCGUCACACUAUCAUUAACUGAAUCCAUAGGUUAAUGAGGCGAACCGGGGGAACUGAAACAUCUAAGUACCCCGAGGAAAAGAAAUCAACCGAGAUUCCCCCAGUAGCGGCGAGCGAACGGGGAGGAGCCCAGAGCCUGAAUCAGCAUGUGUGUUAGUGGAAGCGUCUGGAAAGGCGCGCGAUACAGGGUGACAGCCCCGUACACAAAAGCGCAUGUGCUGUGAGCUCGAUGAGUAGGGCGGGACACGUGGUAUCCUGUCUGAAUAUGGGGGGACCAUCCUCCAAGGCUAAAUACUCCUGACUGACCGAUAGUGAACCAGUACCGUGAGGGAAAGGCGAAAAGAACCCCGGCGAGGGGAGUGAAAAAGAACCUGAA